Magnolia sinica is the source of this 11764-nucleotide RNA transcript. RefSeq lists it as uncharacterized. The transcript is spliced from 6 exons. The record is from RefSeq and is a predicted model, not a curated record. Lineage: Eukaryota; Viridiplantae; Streptophyta; Magnoliopsida; Magnoliales; Magnoliaceae.
AUCUUGUCAACGCUAAUAUGGAUGGUUCUUUGUCUAAAUUCACAACUUCGACUCUGUUCCUUUACUGCAAUUAUUGCGAUCAUUAUGUCUUUAGCUCCCCUCUGUCUGUGAUGCAGACUUGUCUAAGGAUAUGGAAUUGGGAAAAUUUACACUUGGAAAGUAGGCAACAAUGUCUCGUUAUUGUAGAAGGGGGUUUUGCAAUGAAUUUCUUUAUGCUUGCAUUAUGUUUCUCAUCUCUGUAUGCAUUUAAUAUGUUGUCAUAGUGGUUCUUAUUUGGAUCUCAGGGAUGCGAGUGUGUUCCAUCGAGUAACGAGUACAAGAUUGGCAGCAUGGCUUGGUGCUUACUAAAAGGGGGUCUCGUUGCAGUGUUUUGAUUCUCUGAUUCUGUUGGUGGUUAUUUCAGAUGUUUGUGAAAUCUAUCUAUCUUUUUUUGCUUCUUUCAUUGUUCCAGAUAGAUAGACCUGCAAGAUCCUUGUCAUUUUGGUUCUUGAUAGCUUCGGAGAAUGAGAUGGCGAUGAUCUAUCAAACGCUAAUAUCGAGGGUUCUUUGUCUAGAUUCACAACUUCAACUUACUAUUCCUUUACUGCCAUUAUUGCGAUCAUUAUGUAUUUAGGUCCUCUCUGUCUAUGAUGCAGACUUGUCUAGGAAUAUGGAAUUGGGAAGAUUUGCACUUGGAAAGUAGGCAACAAUUUCUCAUUAUUUUAGAAGGGGGUUUUACAAUGAAUGUCUUUAUGCUUGUGUUAUGUUGCUCAUCUGGUGUAUGCAUUUAAUAUGUUGUCAAAGUGGUUCUUAUGUGGAUCUCAGGGAUGCGAGUGUGUCCAUCGAGUAACGAGUACAUGAUUGGCAGCAUGGCUUGGUGCUUGCUAAAAGGGGGUCUCGUUGCAUUGUUUUGAUUCUUUGAUUCUGUUGGUGGUUAUUUCAGAUGUUUGUGAAAUCUAUUUAUAUUUUUUUGCUUCUUUCAUUGUUCCAGAUAGAUAGACCUGCAAGCUCCUUGUCAUUUUGGUUCUUGAUAGCUUCGGAGAAUGAGAUGGCGAUGAUCAAUCAAACGCUAAUAUCGAGGGUUCUUUGUCUAGAUUCACAACUUCAACUUACUAUUCCUGUACUGCCAUUAUUGCGAUCAUUAUGUAUUUAGGUCCUCUCUGUCUAUGAUGCAGACUUGUCUAGGAAUAUGGAAUUGGGAAGAUUUGCACUUGGAAAGUAGGCAACAAUGUCUCAUUAUUUUAAAAGGGGGUUUUGCAAUGAAUUUCUUUAUGCUUGUGUUAUGUUGCUCAUUUAGUGUAUGCAUUUAAUAUGUUGUCAUAGUGGUUCUUAUUUGGAUCUCAGGGAUGCAAGUGUGUUCCAUCGAGUAACAAGUAUAAGAUUGGCAGCAUGGCUUGGUGCUUGCUAUAAGGGGGUCUCGUUGCCGUUUUUUGAUUCUUUGAUUCUAUUGGUGGUUAUUUUAGAUGUUUGUGAAAUCUAUUCAUCUUUUUUGCUUCCUUCAUGUUUCCAAAUGGAUAGACCUACAAGGUCCUUGUCAUUUUGGUUCUUGAUUGCUUCAGAGAUUGAGAUGGCAAUGAUCUAUCGAAUGCUAACAUCGAGGGUUCUUUGUCUAGAUUCACAACUUCAACUCUCUGUUCCUUUACUGCAAUUAUUGUGAUCAUUAUCUAUUUAAGUCACCUCUGUCUGUGAUGCAGACGUGUCUAGGAGUAUGGAAUUGGGAAGAGUUGCACUUGGAAAGUAGGCGGCAAUUUGUUUCAUUAUUGGAGAAGGGGGUUUUCCAAAGAACUUUCUCUAUGCAUUUGUUAUGUUGCUCAUCUGGUGUAUGCAUCCAAUAUGUUGUCAUAGUGGUUCUUAUUUGGAUCUCAGGGAUGCAAGUGUUCCAUUGAGUAAUGAGUACAAGAUUGGCAGCAUGGCUUGGUGCUUGUUAAAAGGGGGUCUCAUUGCAGUGUUUUGAUUCUUUGAUUCUGUUGGUGGUUAUUUCAGAUACUUGUCUAGGAAUAUGGAAUCAGGAAGAUUUGCACGUGGAAAGUAGGCAACAAUUUCUCAUUAUUUUAGAAGGGGGUUUUGCAAUGAAUUUCUUUAUGCUUGUGUUAUGUUGCUCAUCUGUGUAUGCAUUUAAUAUGUUGUCAUAAUGGUUCUUAUUUGGAUCUCAGGGAUGCGAGUGUGUUCCAUCGAGUAACGAGUACAAGAUUGGCAGCAUGGCUUGGUGCUUGCUAUAAGGGGGUCUUGUUGCAGUGUUUUGAUUUUGUUGGUUGUUAUUUCAAAUGUUUGUGCAAUCUAUUUAUCUUUUUUGCUUCUUUCAUGGUUCCAGAUGAUAGACCUGCAAGGUCCUUGUCAUUUUGGUUGUUGAUCGCUUCGGAGAAUGAGAUGGCGAUGAUCUAUCAAUUGCUAAUAUCGAGGGUUCUUUGUCCAGAUUCACAACUUCAACUCUUUGUUCCUUUAAUGCAAUCAUUGCGAUCAUUAUCUAUCCCGAUCACCUGUCUGUGAUGCAGACUUGUCUAGGAAUAUGGAAUUGGGAAGAUUUGCACUUGGAAAGUAGGCGACAAUUUGUCUCAUUAUUGGAGAAGGGGGUUUUCCAAAGAAUGUUCUUUCUUUAUGCAUGUGUUAUGUUUUGCUCAUCUGGUGUAUGCAUCCAAUAUGUUGUCAUAGUGGUUCUUAUUUGGAUCUCAGGGAUGCAAGUGUUCCAUUGAGUAAUGAGUACAAUAUUGGCAGCAUGGCUUGGCCCUUGCUAUAAGGGCGUCUCGUUGCAGUGUUUUGAUUCUUUGAUUUUGUUGGUGGUUAUUUCAGAAGUUUGUGAAAUCUAUUUAUCUCUGUUGCUUCUUUCGAUAGAUGGACCUGCAAGAUCCUUCUCAUUUUGGUUCUUGAUCGCUUCGGAGAAUGAGAUGGUGAUGAUCUAUCAAACGCUAAUAUCGAGGGUUCUUUGUCUAGAUUCAGAACUUCAACUCUCUGUUCCUUUACUGCAAUUAUUGCGAUCAUUAUGUAUUUAGGUCCUCUCUGUUUGUGAUGCAGACGUGUCUAGGAAUAUGGAAUUGGGAAGAUUCACACUGGGAAAGUCGGCGGCAAUUUGUCUAAUUAUUGGAUACGCAAUUUGUCUCAUUAUUGGAGACGGGGUUUUUGCAAUGAACGUUCUUUCUUUAUGCUUGUGUUAUGUUGCUCAUCUGGUGUAUGCAUUUAAUUUGUUGUCAUAAUGGUUCUUAUUUGGAUCUCAGGGAUGCGAGUGUGUUCCAUCGACUAAUGAGUACAAGAUUGGCAGCAUUGGCUUGCUGCUUGCUACAAGGGGGUCUCGUUAUAGUGCUUCGAUUCUUUGAUUCUGUUGGUGGUUACUUCAGAUGUUUGUGAAAUCUAUUUUGUGUUUGGCUUUUCAGGUUGGCGAUGGAUUAUUGCCGACUUCAAAAGCUUCGUCCCAGCAAAUAGACGAUGCCAAGUCCCAAACAAUGUAGGGCUGGUACGUGUUUAGGGAAGAGAACAUGGAGCGGUUGAGGAUCUAGAAUGUGGGGGAUGAUACUCGUUAAUUAUGAGCCGCACCUUUGAAACUGAACCGCCAUUAGCAUGAAGGGUUGUGCCUUUGCUGGAGUUGCUCUUUGUGAACAACUCAUUUAUUGAGUAGUUUUGGUUCUGUCAUGGUUUUAAAGCAGAUACCCCUCUGGUCAGUUUUGUGCCUUUAGAGAACUAGACGGUCAUAUCCAUAGCCUCUAUCUCUCCACCAAAAAAAAAAAAAAAAUGAAAAAGGGAGAAAACAAAAGAGGAGAAAUUAUUUUAGUUCUUUUUUAUUGUUGGAAAGUGUUGGACAGCCAAAAUCCUCGGUCAAUUUGGUCCUCAAUGUCUUUUGAAGAAUCAAAUGAUCAUCUUUUACUGCAACUACUGUGAUCAUUAUGUAAUCUGGAUGUGUUUGUUUGGCCUCUUGGCUGUGUUGCAGACUUGUUGAGUUUUUAGGAAUUUGGACUUGAGAAGAUUCCUGUUUGCACUCGAAAGUUGGAAGUAGGCGGCAAUUGGUCUCAAUACUGUAGAACAGGGUUUCUUAGAAAUUUACUUCGGUUAUGCUCGUGUUAUGUUGUGCACAUUUGAUGUGGUGAGUUUUCUCAGUGGGUCUAGUCUGAUUUGGAUCUUGGGGCGCUAUAUAAUUGGACUAUCUAUUGAUGAGCACACAACUGGCAACAUGGUUUAUUGCUUGCGAAAGGGGGCGUGUCAUUGCAGAGUUUCUUCUAUUCUUCAUUUGUAUGGUUCGUUUAUAUCAUCAGAUUUCGUGAAAUCUACGUGUAUGCUUGGCUUUUCAGGUUUAGGCUUGCGAUUGAUUAUUGCAGACCCUAAAGCUUUAUCCAUCUUACCUGUAAAGAAUGGAAAAUAAAAAGAUAAAAAAGCUUUAUCGAUGAAAAGAGAGAGAAGACGCUCAACUCCCAGAACAUAUGGUAGUUGUUGAUUGCAGCAGAUAUUCAACUGCCGCCUUGGAGGAAGAAAUAUUAGUCCUUUUUUAACAAGAUCCGCUCGGAGCUGUUGAUUGCAACAGAUUCAGCCACUGCCUUGUUUUAUCUAAGAAAGGGGGUUUCUUUGAUGAGUUUUGCUAAAUCUGGAUCUCUUUUGGUAGCUCACAUGUUUGGUGAAUCUACGUUGAGUACCUCUGUUGGUUUCUUCGUUCUUCAGGGAGAGCAAGAUUUGUGGGGCCUGCAAUAGGAGAGUGCAACCUUUCCUAUGAUUGUAGAAGGGGUUUUUUCUACUCCUAUAAGUGUUCUUUGGCUGUGCUUAUCUGUUGCUCGUUUCUGUAUGUAUUCAGUAUGUAGGAAUUUCUAAGUUGCUCUGAUUUGGAUCUCAGGGCUGUGGAAUCAUCUUUAUCCAUCAAUUAGAACUGGAUUCGGCUACAUGGUUUAUCGCUAAGGGGGGUUUCAUUGCAGAAUUUCUUCUCUUUGGUUCCGUUGGUGUGUUUUGUCAAAUUUUCAUGAAACUACGUGCCGUGUUUGGCCUUUCAGGUUGUUGUUGGCAAUGGCAGUGGAUUGUUGACGACUGUAAGAUGCGAAACUAUAGAUGGACCUGCAAGAUCCUUGUCAUUUUGGUUCUUGAUCGCUUCGGAGAAUGAGAUGGCGAUGAUCUUUCAAACGAUAAUAUCAAGGGUUCUUUGUCUAGAUUCACGACUUCAACUCUCUGUUCCUUUACUGCAAUUAUUGCGAUCAUUAUGUAUUUAGGUCCUCUCCGUCAGUGAUGCAGACGUGUCUAGGAUCAUGGAAUUGGGAAGAUUCGCACUGGGAAAGUUGGCGGCAAUUUGUCUCAUUAUUGGAGACGGGGUUUUUGCAGUGAACGUUCUUUCUUUAUGCUUGUGUUAUGUUGCUCAUCUGGUGUAUGCAUUUAAUCUGUUGUCAUAAUGGUUCUUAUUUGGAUCUCAGGGAUGCGAGUGUGUUCCAUCGACUAACCAGUACAAGAUUGGCAGCAUUGGCUUGCUGCUUGCUACAAGGGGGUCUCGUUAUAGUGCUUCGAUUCUUUGAUUCUGUUGGUGGUUACUUCAGAUGUUUGUGAAAUCUAUUUUGUGUUUGGCUUUUCAGGUUGGCGAUGGAUUAUUGCCGACUUCAAAAGCUUCGUCCCAGCAAAUAGACGAUGCCAAGUCCCAAACAAUGUAGGGCUGGUACGUGUUUAGGGAAGAGAACAUGGAGCGGUUGAGGAUCUAGAAUGUGGGGGAUGAUACUCGUUAAUUAUGAGCCGCACCUUUGAAACUGAACCGCCAUUAGCAUGAAGGGUUGUGCCUUUGCUGGAGUUGCUCUUUGUGAACAACUCAUUUAUUGAGUAGUUUUGGUUCUGUCAUGGUUUUAAAGCAGAUACCCCUCUGGUCAGUUUUGUGCCUUUAGAGAACUAGACGGUCAUAUCCAUAGCCUCUAUCUCUCCACCAAAAAAAAAAAAAAAAAAAAAGGAGAAAACAAAAGAGGAGAAUUUAUUUUAGUUCUUUUUUAUUGUUGGAAAGUGUUGGACAGCCAAAAUCCUCGGUCAAUUUGGUCCUCAAUGUCUUUGAAGAAUCAAAUGAUCAUCUUUUACUGCAACUACUGUGAUCAUUAUGUAAUCUGGAUGUGUUUGUUUGGCCUCUUGGCUGUGUUGCAGACUUGUUGAGUUUUUAGGAAUUUGGACUUGAGAAGAUUCCUGUUUGCACUCGGAAGUUGGAAGUAGGCGGCAAUUGGUCUCAAUAUUGUAGAACAGGGUUUCUUAGAAAUUUACUUCGGUUAUGCUCGUGUUAUGUUGUGCACAUUUGAUGUGGUGAGUUUUCUCAGUGGGUCUGGUCUGAUUUGGAUCUCGGGGUGCUAUAUAAUUGGACUAUCUAUUGAUGAGCACACAACUGGCAACAUGGUUUAUUGCUUGCGAAAGGGGGCAUGUCAUUGCAGAGUUUCUUCUAUUCUUCAUUUGUAUGGUUCGUUUAUAUCAUCAGAUUUCGUGAAAUCUACGUGUAUGCUUGGCUUUUCAGGUUUAGGCUUGCGAUUGAUUAUUGCAGACCCUAAAGCUUUAUCCAUCUUACCUGAAAAAAAAAAGAAAAAGCAAAAGAAAUAAAGAGAGAAAAAAGCUUUAUUGAUGAAAAGAGAGAGAAGAGGCCCAAGUCCCACAACAUAUGGUAGUAGUUGAUUGCAGCAGAUAUUCAACUGCCGCCUUGGAGGAAGAAAUAUUAGUCCUUUUUUAACAAGAUCCGCUCGGAGCUGUUGAUUGCAACAGAUUCAGCCACUGCCUUGUUUUAUCUAAGAAAGGGGGUUUCUUUGAUGAGUUUUGCUAAAUCUGGAUCUCUUUUGGUAGCUCACAUGUUUGGUGAAUCUACGUUGAGUACCUCUGUUGGUUUCUUCGUUCUUCAGGGAGAGCAAGAUUUGUGGGGCCUGCAAUAGGAGAGUGCAACCUUUCCUAUGAUUGUAGAAGGGGUUUUUUCUACUCCUAUAAGUGUUCUUUGGCUGUGCUUAUCUGUUGCUCGUUUCUGUAUGUAUUCAGUAUGUAGGAAUUUCUAAGUUGCUCUGAUUUGGAUCUCAGGGCUGUGGAAUCAUCUUUAUCCAUCAAUUAGAACUGGAUUCGGCUACAUGGUUUAUCGCUAAGGGGGGUUUCAUUGCAGAAUUUCUUCUCUUUGGUUCCGUUGGUGUGUUUUGUCAAAUUUUCAUGAAACUACGUGCCGUGUUUGGCCUUUCAGGUUGUUGUUGGCAAUGGCAGUGGAUUGUUGACGACUGUAAGAUGCGAAACUAUAGAUAUACCUGCAAGAUGCUUGCCAUUUUGGUUCUUGAUCGCCUCAGAGAAUGAGACGGUGAUGAUAUGUCAACGCUAAUAUGGAUGGUUCUUUGUCUAAAUUCACAACUUCGACUCUGUUCCUUUACUGCAAUUAUUGCGAUCAUUAUGUCUUUAGCUCCUCUCUGUCUGUGAUGCAGACUUGCCUAGUAAUAUGGAAUUGGGAAGAUUUUUACUCAGAAAGUAGGUAACAAUUUCUCAUAAUUGUAGAAGGGGGUUUUGCAAUGAAUUUCUUUAUGCUUGUGUUAUGUUGCUCAUCCAGUGUAUUCAUUUAAUAUGUUGUCAUAGUGGUUCUUAUUUGGAUCUCAGGGAUGCGAGUGUGUUCCAUCGAGUAACGAGUACAAGAUUGGUAGCAUGGCUUGGUGCUUACUAUAAAGGGGUCUCGUUGCAGUGUUUUGAUUCUGUUGGUGGUUAUUUCAGAUGUUUGUGAAAUCUAUUUAUCUUUUUUGCUUCUUUCAUGGUUCCAGAUGAAUAGACCGGCGUGGUCCUUGUCAUUUUGGUUGUUGAUCGCUUCGAAGAAUGAGAUGGCGAUGUUCUAUCGAAUGCUAAUAUCAAGGGUUCUUUGUCCAGAUUCACAACUUCAACUCUUUGUUCCUUUACUGCAAUUAUUGCGCUCAUUAUCUAUCCAGAUCACCUCUAUCUGUGAUGCAGACUUGUCUAGGAAUAUGGAAUUGGGAAGAUUUGCACUUGGAAAGUAGGCGGCAAUUUGUCUCAUUAUUGGAGAAGGGGUUUUCCAAAGAAUGUUAUUUCUUUAUGCAUGUGUUAUGUUGCUCAUCUGGUGUAUGCAUCCAAUAUGUUGUCAUAGUGGUUCUUAUUUGGAUCUCAGGGAUGCAAGUGUUCCAUUGAGUAAUAAGUACAAGAUUGGCAGCAUGACUUUUCCUUUGCUAUAAGGGCGUCUUGUUGCAGUGUUUUGAUUCUUUGAUUUUGUUGGUGGUUAUUUCAGAAGUUUGUGAAAUCUAUUUAUCCCUGUUGCUUGUUUCAUGGUUCCAGAUAGAUGGACCUGCAAGAUCCUUGUCAUUUUGGUUCUUGAUCGCUUCGGAGAAUGAGAUGGCGAUGAUCUUUCAAACGAUAAUAUCAAGGGUUCUUUGUCUAGAUUCACGACUUCAACUCUCUGUUCCUUUACUGCAAUUAUUGCGAUCAUUAUGUCUUUAGGUCCUCUCCGUCUGUGAUGCAGACUUGUCUAGGAAUAUGGAAUUGCGAAGAUUUGCACUUGGAAAGUUGGCGGCAAUUUGUCUCAUUAUUGGAGACGGGGUUUUUGCAGUGAACGUUCUUUCUUUAUGCUUGUGUUAUGUUGCUCAUCUGGUGUAUGCAUUUAAUCUGUUGUCAUAAUGGUUCUUAUUUGGAUCUCAGGGAUGCGAGUGUGUUCCAUCGACUAACCAGUACAAGAUUGGCAGCAUUGGCUUGCUGCUUGCUACAAGGGGGUCUAGUUACAGUGCUUCGAUUCUUUGAUUCUGUUGGUGGUUAUUUCAGAUGUUUGUGAAAUCUAUUUUGUGUUUGGCUUUUCAGGUUGGCGAUGGAUUAUUGCCGACUUCAAAAGCUUCGUCCCAGCAAAUAGACAAUGCCAAGUCCCAAACAAUGAAGGGCUGGUACGUGUUAGGGAAGAGAACAUGGAGCGGUUGAGGAUCUAGAAUGUGGGGGAUGAUACUCGUUAAUUAUGAGCCGCACCUUUGAAACUGAACCGCCAUUAGCAUGAAGGGGUGUGCCUUUGCUGGAGUAGCUCUUUGUGAACAACUCAUUUAUUGAGUAGUUUUGGUUCUGUCAUGGUUUUAAAGCAGAUACCCCUCUGGUCAGUUUUGUGCCUUUAGAGAACUAGACGGUCAUAUCCAUAGCCUCUAUCUCUCCACCAAAAAAAAAAAAAAAAUGAAAAAGGGAGAAAACAAAAGAGGAGAAAUUAUUUUAGUUCUUUUUUAUUGUUGGAAAGUGUUGGACAGCCAAAAUCCUCGGUCAAUUUGGUCCUCAAUGUCUUUUGAAGAAUCAAAUGAUCAUCUUUUACUGCAACUACUGUGAUCAUUAUGUAAUCUGGAUGUGUUUGUUUGGCCUCUUGGCUGUGUUGCAGACUUGUUGAGUUUUUAGGAAUUUGGACUUGAGAAGAUUCCUGUUUGCACUCGAAAGUUGGAAGUAGGCGGCAAUUGGUCUCAAUACUGUAGAACAGGGUUUCUUAGAAAUUUACUUCGGUUAUGCUCGUGUUAUGUUGUGCACAUUUGAUGUGGUGAGUUUUCUCAGUGGGUCUAGUCUGAUUUGGAUCUUGGGGCGCUAUAUAAUUGGACUAUCUAUUGAUGAGCACACAACUGGCAACAUGGUUUAUUGCUUGCGAAAGGGGGCGUGUCAUUGCAGAGUUUCUUCUAUUCUUCAUUUGUAUGGUUCGUUUAUAUCAUCAGAUUUCGUGAAAUCUACGUGUAUGCUUGGCUUUUCAGGUUUAGGCUUGCGAUUGAUUAUUGCAGACCCUAAAGCUUUAUCCAUCUUACCUGAAAAAAAAAAAGAAAAAGCAAAAGAAAUAAAGAGAGAAAAAAGCUUUAUCGAUGGAAAGAGAGAGAAGAGGCCCAAGUCCCACAACAUAUGGUAGUAGUUGAUUGCAGCAGAUAUUCAACUGCCGCCUUGGAGGAAGAAAUAUUAGUCCUUUUUUAACAAUAUCCGCUCGGAGCUGUUGAUUGCAACAGAUUCAGCCACUGCCUUGUUUUAUCUAAGAAAGGGGGUUUCUUUGAUGAGUUUUGCUAAAUCUGGAUCUCUUUUGGUAGCUCACAUGUUUGGUGAAUCUACGUUGAGUACCUCCGUUGGUUUCUUCAUUCUUCAGGGAGAGCAAGAUUUGUGGGGCCUGCAAUAGGAGACUGCAACCUUUCCUAUGAUUGUAGAAGGUUGAGUGUUCUUUGGCUGUGCUUAUUUUCUGUUGCUCGUUUCUGUAUGUAUUCAGCAUGCAGGAAUUUCUAAGUUUCUCUGAUUUGGAUCCCAGGGCUGUGGAAUCGUCUUUAUCCAUCAAUUAGAACUGGAUUCGGCAACAUGGUUUAUCGCUAAGGGGGGUUUCAUUGCAGAAUUUCUUCUCUUUGGUUCCGUUGGCGUGUUUUCUCAAAUUUUCGUGAAACUACGUGCCGUGUUUGGCCUUUCAGGUUGUUGUUAGCAAUGGCAAUGGAUUGUCGAUGACUGUAAGAUGCGAAACUAGAAAUAGAUGGCCAAGAUGCUUGUCAAAUUUUUCCUUAUCAAGGAUAAGUCUUCCGGGUUCUUGGUCUAGAUUCUCCACUUCCAAUAUCCAGUGAAAGGUAUGUGUCUUCCGAAUCCUAACCUUGGAUAAUCUGCAAAAGAGGGGUAUGUGUCUUCCCAACAUCCGUCUCCUUUGCAUUCAGGGCACUGAAUCCAUAGACCAUCUCUUGCAUUGCCCAUAAACUAGCCAGAUUUGAUUCCAGAUUUUGAGAACUUUUAAGUGCAAUGGUGCUGCCCAUAGUCAGUGCUGCAACUAUUAUGGGCUUGGCUCGAAGUGCAUCUUACCAAAGGUCAAGCUGUCCAUGUGGAGGUUAUGCCUGCUUGCUCGUCUGUGGAAUAUUUGGGGAGAACAUGAUGCUUUGUGUUUCGACAACGCCCACAAUUUGGAAGCUAUGCCUACUUGGUAGUCUGUGGAAUGUUCGAGAACAUAACACUUGGUGUUUUGACAAUGCCCCCAGAGAAAUAGAUGGCCAAGAUGCUUGUCAAAAUUUUCCUUAACGUCUUCAGAGAAACAGAUGGUCAUGGUCUUUAUCAAUGAUAAAUCUUCUGGGUUCUUGGUCUAGAUUCUCCACUUCCAAUAUCCAGUGAGAGGGCACCGAAUCCGUAGUCCAUAUCUUGCAUUGCCCAUAUACUAGCCAGAUUUGGUUCCAGUUUUUGAGAUCUUUUAAGUGCAAUGGUGCUGCCCUUAGUCAGUGCUGCAACUAUUAUGGGCGUGGCUGGGAGUGCAUCUUACCAAAGGUCAAGCUGUCCAUGUGUAGGUUAUGCCUGCUUGCUAGUCUGUGGAAUAUUUGGGGAGAACCAUGAUGCUUGGUGUUUCGACAGUGCAAUGGUGCUGCCCUUAGUCAGUGCUGCAACUGUUAUGGGCGUGGCUGGGAGUGCAUCUCAACAAAGGUCAAGUUGUCCGUGUGGAGGUCAUGCCUGCUUGCUAGUCUGUGGAAUAUUUGGGGAGAACAUGAUGCGUGGUGUUUCGACAACACCCACAAUUUGGAGGCUAUGCCUGCUUGGUAGUCUGUGGAAUGUUCGUGAACAUAACGCUUGGUGUUUUGACAAUGCCCACAACUUGGAGGUUAUGCCUGCUUGCUAGACUGGAAUAUUUGGGGAGAACAAUGCCCACAAUUUGAAGGUUAUGCCUGCUUGCUAGUCUGUGGAAUAUUUGGGGAGAAUUUAAUGCAUGGUGUUUCGACGAUGCCCACAAUUCAUGGGAUGAGAUGCCUUUUGAGUGGGCCGCGGUUCUUCUGAACAUUGACUUGAAUUUAUCUCGCUCUAUUCUGUUAAAUUAAUAUCCUCUAUUUUGUUUUUUGGCUGGCUUAUGCUGGUCUGAUUUUUAAUAAAAUUACAUUCAUAGCUCUUUCAAAAAAGAAGUCUCACA